UUCCACAAUAUCGCCCUGAAUGCACCAGUCUCAGCUGAGUUUGGAAGCUAAGCAGGAUCAGGUCUGGUUAGAACUUGGAGGAGAGAUGACCAGUAAUCUCCAGGUUGAGCUAGGAA
Molecule: ribosomal RNA, 116 nt
Filed under: Pogona vitticeps (central bearded dragon)
Lineage: Eukaryota; Metazoa; Chordata; Lepidosauria; Squamata; Agamidae
Source: RNAcentral